RNAcentral lists this ribosomal RNA (454 nucleotides) under uncultured archaeon. RNAcentral describes it as "bacterial SSU rRNA". It matches the Rfam family "Archaeal small subunit ribosomal RNA", at positions 95 to 531 of the family's 1478-position model. The record is from RNAcentral.
AACAUGUGGCUAACCUACCCUUAGGACGGAGACAACCCCGGGAAACUGGGGCUAAUACCCGGUAGAUUAGGAGGCCUGGAAUGGUUUCUAGUCGAAAAGGCGUUGAAACCAUGCUUUUCGACGUCGCCUAAGGAUGGGGCCGCACCUGAUCAGGUUGUUGGUGGGGUAACGGCUCACCAAGCCUAUAACCGGUACGGGCCGUGAGAGCGGGAGCCCGGAGAUGGGCACUGAGACAAGGGCCCAGGCCCUACGGGGCGCAGCAGUCGCGAAAACUCCGCAAUGCGCGAAAGCGUGACGGGGCUACCCCGAGUGCCGUCCGCUGAGGAUGGCUUUUCCCCGGUGUAAUGAGCCGAGGGAAUAAGGAGAGGGCAAGACUGGUGUCAGCCGCCGUGGUAAUACCAGCUCUCCGAGUGGUAGGGAUGAUUAUUGGGCUUAAAGCGUCCGUAGCCGGCUU